Prunus persica (peach) is the source of this 1118-nucleotide long non-coding RNA. RefSeq lists it as uncharacterized. NCBI's taxonomy places the organism in Eukaryota, Viridiplantae, Streptophyta, Magnoliopsida, Rosales, Rosaceae. The transcript is spliced from 4 exons. The record is from RefSeq and is a predicted model, not a curated record.
UCUUCUUCCUCGCGCCGAGUCUGGGCCUCUUUGGCUUUGUUUCCAGACAUGGGGAAGAAGACGACGAAGCCAGGAAAAGGCAAAGAGAAAGCAUCGAAAGCUGAGGAAAAGAAAGCUCGCAGAGAGACCAGAAGCUCUCACCUGAUGACGACAUCGAUGCCAUUUUGACCAUAUGGCACUAUCGUGGAGGGUGUCAAGGUGGGAGGGUUGUUGAUAAAAGAUAUUGAGUUCUUGGUAUUGAUUCUCUGAGGGUUAUUGAUGGUGCUAAUCCUCAAGCUACUGUCAUGAUGCUUGGAAGAGCGUAAUUAGGAAGGAAACUAGUAAGGAGGUGAGGAUGACACAAUACAACUGCAAGCAGUUUCAGAACAUUUGAUCACAUGGGCUGCUCUAACUUCAUGAAGUCCUUGAGAGAGUGGAAGAAUCUCAUAUGCUAGGAAAGAGCGCUUUCAAGGCUUGGAUAAGGAGGAGAAGAAUCUAGCAGCAGAAUGAGCCCUGGCCCCAACAAAAUCCCUGAAAAUCAGCCCUUGAUGGAUGUUCACAGCAUAAUCCUCAGGAUAUGCCAUUUGUGCUUACUGGUUUAUUUUAUCUCUUGGAGUCUUUGAGCCCUUAUAUAACACCUGUGUCGGGCCAUCAUUGAAAAAGUAUCUUGAAGAAGCUAUACAUACUAGAAGAAGUAUACUUAUCAAGUAAGCAAAGCAGUCAUAGGGCUCCUCUUUCUUGGCAGGCACUGGUGACUGAUGCAGCUACAAAUGUACAAUCACUUUCAUUGACCUGCCAAAGAAGAGUUGCCCUACGAUUGCUUUGGCUUAAUGAAAUUUGCAGCCUGUCUGAUCAUGCAGUAGAGCCAUGUCAUGCGAACCAUAUACGGCAAGGUAUAAUAUUAGGCUAGGCUAGCCAAGGAUAUACGUAAGUUUUGUCAUAUUUGAAAAUAAUGGUAGAGGUAGAGCUUUAAUACUGAAGUUAUUUUUGUUGUACAAAGGUGUUCUGCUUUGUGGCUAAGCAAGCAGGCAAAGUGAGUUUACCAUGUGGCUUUGCACAAUGCAGGGAAAUAGUGUGAUUUUGUAUAGGUGGAAGCCAUAUAUACAAGCAAUUACUAAUUUCCCCGAUCCCUUCUGUCA